This 651-nucleotide ribosomal RNA is filed under the name uncultured Acidobacteriota bacterium. RNAcentral's name for it is "SSU rRNA". It matches the Rfam family "Bacterial small subunit ribosomal RNA", at positions 246 to 915 of the family's 1533-position model. The record is from RNAcentral. Lineage: Bacteria; Pseudomonadati; Acidobacteriota.
UCGUUGGUGAGGUAACGGCCCACCAAGGCAUUGAUCAGUAGCCGGCCUGAGAGGGCACACGGCCACACUGGCACUGAAACACGGGCCAGACUCCUACGGGAGGCAGCAGUGGGGAAUCUUGCACAAUGGGGGAAACCCUGAUGCAGCGACGCCGCGUGAGCGAUGAAGCCCUUCGGGGUGUAAAGCUCUUUCGGCAGGGAAGAUUAUGACGGUACCUGCAGAAGCAGCUGCGGCUAACUACGUGCCAGCAGCCGCGGUAAUACGUAGGCAGCGAGCGUUGUUCGGAGUUACUGGGCGUAAAGGGUGUGUAGGCGGCCUUGUAAGUUUGGUGUGAAAUCUCCCGGCUUAACCGGGAGGGUGCGCUAAAGACUGCAGGGCUAGAGUACGGGAUGGGAGAGUAGAAUUCCUGGUGUAGCGGUGAAAUGCGUAGAUAUCAGGAGGAAUACCUGUGGUGUAGACGGCUCUCUGGACCGUAACUGACGCUGAGACACGAAAGCGUGGGUAGCAAACAGGAUUAGAUACCCUGGUAGUCCACGCCCUAAACGAUGCAUAUUUGGUGUGGGUCAUUCAGUUGAUCUGUGCCGGAGCUAACGCGUUAAAUAUGCCGCCUGGGGAGUACAGUCGCAAGGCUGAAACUCAAAGGAAUUGACG